This 74-nucleotide non-coding RNA is filed under the name Paramuricea clavata. Lineage: Eukaryota; Metazoa; Cnidaria; Anthozoa; Malacalcyonacea; Plexauridae. The record is from RNAcentral.
CAUCAUCGGUGCACUGUGCUGAUGAGCCCCACAAAGGGCGAAACAGCUGUCCACUGUUGCCGUUGUUUGAGCUC